CGAUGAUACGCGAGGAACCUUACCUGGGCUCGAACGUAAGAUGACUGUAGGUGAAAGCUUACAUCUCUUCGGAGCAUUUUACGUAGGUGCUGCAUGGUUGUCGUCAGCUCGUGCCGUGAGGUGUCGGGUUAAGUCCCAUAACGAGCGCAACCCCUACCUUUAGUUGCCAUCAGGUUAAGCUGGGGACUCUAAAGGAACUGCCUACGCAAGUAGUGAGGAAGCGGGGAUGACGUCAAAUCAGCACGGCCCUUACGUCCAGGGCUACACACGUGCUACAAUGGCCGAUACAGAGGGCAGCUACCUGGUGACAGGAUGCAAAAUCUCCAAAGUCGGUCUCAGUUCGGAUCGGAGUCUGCAACCCGACUCCGUGAAGUUGGAUUCGCUAGUAAUCGCGCAUCAGCCAUGGCGCGGUGAAUACGUUCCCGGGCCUU
RNAcentral lists this ribosomal RNA (431 nucleotides) under uncultured Sphingobacteriales bacterium. RNAcentral describes it as "bacterial SSU rRNA". It matches the Rfam family "Bacterial small subunit ribosomal RNA", at positions 952 to 1382 of the family's 1533-position model. Lineage: Bacteria; Pseudomonadati; Bacteroidota; Sphingobacteriia; Sphingobacteriales. The record is from RNAcentral.